RNAcentral lists this ribosomal RNA (3109 nucleotides) under Triticum aestivum (bread wheat). Its description in RNAcentral is "partial small subunit ribosomal RNA". Lineage: Eukaryota; Viridiplantae; Streptophyta; Magnoliopsida; Poales; Poaceae. The record is from RNAcentral.
CGGGACAAACCCUAGCCUUACAUCCCACACUACGUCCUCCUCCAUCCUCGUUAGCCGCCGCCGCCGUUCUGCCUCCCUCCUCUCUACCCUACAACCACGCCGGCGGAAGGAAGCCUCCGUUCGUGGCGCCAUACCACUGCCGGUGUGCUGUGCACGCUUCGUUCCCCACAGCCCCUCCCUCAUCCUCGCUCGGCACCGCCGCUGCCUGCUACUCCCCUCCACCACCGUUGCUACUUGUGGGUCGAAUCUAGCAUUGGUGGGUCAGAGCUCAAGCUAGAGGCCGAGACGGGGCUGGGCGAGCGGAUUCCAGGUGCGGGUUCGCCCUCUCCCCGCGCGGCGCGUGCGCAUCACGCCGUCUACGGGAGCGUGGGGGCAGGCCUCGCCCGCACCCCUCCGCCCUACCUCCCUCCUCGAUCUCUCUCCCUGGUCAGCCGCCACCAACCCUAGCCCCCUUUCAUACGCUGACUCCUCCAUACUCUGUCUCUGUCCGUGCAGGCGGCCAUCUUCGUUCCACCCCGAGCUUCUCAUCCUCCUUCCUUGCUUCUCUACUCCCACACGAAGGAGGAAGAUGCAAAUGGCGUCGGCUUUGGGAGAUAGCUCGCCCGGCUGCAGGGAAGGGCGACGGGACCGGCAUCCUGGGCGGUGGCGACGGUUGGACUCCAGGAGCUGCCGAGGUUGUCCUCACCAAGGAAGCGGCCGACAGCGCAAGGGAGGGCUCGUCCUUACGUGGUGCUCAACCGGCGAUUGAGAUUUGGAGGGAGACUAGGAGACCCCGGCGAAAACGAGCGUGCUAGCGGUGGCUCCGGGAAUGCAGGGUGAUAGGGCCCAGUCUAUGCUCCGGUUGUGUUGUUGGGGAAGCUUCUGGACGGGAUUUAGACAAGGAAACGGAAACCCGUGCGAAAUCGAGCAUCCUGGUGGUGCCUCGACCAAAGCGGGUCGACGGAUAGUGCCGGUGAGCACGGAGCAUGGUGCAGCGAGUUGGAUAGGCGGCAAGAGAGGUGACCACGGGUGUGGCUUGGGGAGCUCCGCACACAUGAAGUGAUGAUGAGUGCAUCCGACCCCACCAUGCUGCUGUUCCUGGAGAACAAGGGGUAUAUGAACCAGAAAUGAUGUGAUAUACUUGGUUAUUUGAACAUGAAGGUCAACCACGGGGUGGCGCGACAUGGGUGAGCUGAAAUUGUUCUACUGAUUCCUUGAUGCUUUGUUCAUUGCUUUGUUCUUAUUUUAUCGUUCUUUAUUUGCUUUGUUCUUUCCUACAAGAAGAUGCCGAGUCGUGCAAUAUGUUCAAAGAAGUGAGAAUCUGCAUUUUAUGAAUGUUUUCUUCUUUCUUCAUUGUUACCUCAAGUCAGUGAAUUCAGUUAAAUUGUACUGAGCAGCUUCAUACGCAUGGUUUCUCCAUCUACACAUCUUAUUCAGUCACGAGGCCAUUAAGAUCUUUUUGACUUUUAUAAAAAGGGUGAUGCCAAUUGGACGUCACCCUGUCCAACUUGAUCUUUAACUUGCUAUUACUGUUUGGAUCUUCACAUUCAAGGAUUUUUCAUUAAAUCGUCGGUUCACCAGUUCUUUGUUACUUGAGAUAUUGUGAUAAACUUAUAUCAUUGCUUACUAUACAUAUGUCUGGAUGAUGCCUGCAGGCUCAUUACAAGCUUCAGGUGGAUCAAAUAGUGGGCCUUCUAUAUAUAUAUUCAGCUGUAUCAUUUCUUACUAUAUAUGUCUUCCUGUAGACGAGACGAAACCAUACAUGGAUCCUUUGCCUCCUUUCUUGCUCAGACCCCAUGAUACAACCUCGGCGGUUGUCCAGCGACUAACAGGUAAUUUCUCUUUCAAUUUGAUGAUGAUGGAUGAGAAUCAGUUCUAUGAUUGCAGCUUAUAAAAACAGAUGUUGGAUGUCCCUUAUGUGAUGUGCUUAUUUACCAUGAUAGAUGCAAUUGCUUAUUAGUAGGUGCUCUCCGAAUCCUUCUUUAACUAAUUUACUUUGAAGUUCGGACAAAGGAGACUAUAACUUUUUAUAUUCGUUCUAUCAUGGAUUCCCUCUCUAGCCUAUGUACGUUUCAGAAAUAGGUACACACCUAGGAGAAGCCUGAGACCUAAUAAUAGUGCUAAGCAAUUACUCUGAUUGUCAUUCUAUGCUAUCAUCACAACACAGGUCAAUAGACAGUCAACAAAUGUGUAAUCAGCUUUCCCUGGGUCCUGCAUCAUCUACUAAUAAUCAAAUUUUGUGGCGAGUGUCUUAUAAAUCAGCAUACCUAUUUCUCCACACUGGAUAGCUUUUAUUGUGACUACAAAGAAUAUCGUUUGAGGAUGGCAUGCCAAUUGUUCUAUGUCUUGGGUAUGAAGUAAUUUCUAAAAUGUCUUAGGUUUCCCUAUAAAUUCUGCAAAUUUGCGGCAUGUCAUUAAAACCUACAGGGUGCUCCACCGAUGGUGAAAAUACCUCACAUGAUGAUGUUGGAUAUUCUUCUACAAACUUCUGGCCUACUAGUGGCUGAGUAUCGAAGCAAAAUGUGACAGUUGCAUGAUGUGGUUGACUGUUUAUUUGCAUACAGCAAUAUCAUCUUUUGGAGAUAAAACAGCCGUAUGGAUGUUACAUGAGACCAUGUCGGAAGACCCUGCUGCUAUGUAAGCAAAAGGAUUCAUGAUACCCACGGUGAAAACAGAGAUAAGAUGCUACAGUUAGAGCAGCAUUGAGAAACCGAGGACACGAAAUGAGUCUGAAAAAUGCUAUGGGCUGAUUUGUUCUAGCUAGGUACAUGCAAUGCUUCUCUUAUAUAUAUGCAACGUAACAUCGCGGAUAACUAGAACUGUUGUGAUGUUGCUCUAUUAUAAGUACAAAUAACUCAUGGUUAUCUUUUCUUAUGCAAUGUGUGGUAGAAGUUGUACUCACAGGAAGACUAUCGUGCUUUGUAUAAACCACAUUCUAUGAUUCACUUCUGUUAUGCUUAUUUACAUUCCAGUGUUAGGACUGAAAUCCAUCUAUUGUAAUGAAUUUGGUUAUAUUGGCAUUACCUAUUUGACUUAGGCUUGGUUCAUCACAUAUAGACUGUUUUUCUUGUAACCCGCUGCUUGUAUGACCUAAAACUGUCAUGUAUAUGAGGCAAGUUAUUAGCAAUGU